AAGCAGGAAACUCAGUGGCAUUUCCGACUGAUUCAGUAUGCACACGGCGAAAAGCCCCGCGGCCAGUCAGCGAUAAGGGGAGAGGGGAAAUGACUUGCAGGAGUCGCAGAUGACUGAGUGAUGAGAUCAUUAAGUGCAUCGCGAUGAGAAAGUCAGUUGAGAAAGUCAGUUGCUAGAGAAAGUAUUUUUCAGCCUUUGGUGAUGUUUUUUUGUUGUUGUCGCGUUCUGGUUUUUGUAGCAUGUAACUGCGGAGUGUCGCGCCAUGGAAAGGUGUCUGCAACCCCGGGCUCCCUCCUGCACGACUCUUGGCGUUUGCAACAGCAAGGGACGGAGGAAGAAAACUCGAGUCCGGAGACAGACAACCACAAGAAGCUGAAAUCGCCAUGGUGAAGAUGAUUGACAAGGUGAAGAUGAUUGACAAAGUGGAGAUGAUUGACAUUGGUCAUCCAUUCUUCUACCGAAUGGAUCCAAUGACCUAAUGAUGAUCAUGAUGAAGAUUCUGGAGAUUCUUCCACGCAGCAAAGUCAGCCACGUGUAUCCUCUAUAUCUGCGACCCAGUCCCUCGAU
Molecule: long non-coding RNA, 567 nt
Organism: Oncorhynchus masou masou (cherry salmon)
Lineage: Eukaryota; Metazoa; Chordata; Actinopteri; Salmoniformes; Salmonidae
Exons: 3
Source: RefSeq, a predicted model, not a curated record